GAAUACCAAACUGGAAGUGAAAAACAGAAUGGUUGUAUGGGCACUUGAAGUUCAGUUUCUACUGAAUGCUUAUCACUUUCACACCAUCAUAAAGUUGAAAAAUCAGGGCCUAUCAGGGUCAGCUCUGGCUGUCUUUUCCUUGAGGGUUUCUAUCCUUUGUAUGGGCUCAGGAAGUUCUUCCCCAUGCCAGUAUUAUAUUGGCACCUUUUAAUGGUUUCAUUUUUCUCAUUUAAUUAAUCUCCCUAGAAUUUGUUUUUUGCUUUUUUUGGUUUUUUUUUUUUUUUUUUUUUUUUUUGAGAUGGAGUCUUGCUCUGUCACCCAGGUUGGAGUGCCCAGGCACGAUCUCGGCUCACUGCAAACUCCGCCUCCCGGGUUCACACCAUUCUCCUGCCUCAGGCUCCCAAAUAGCUGGGACUACAGGUGGCUAAUUUUUUGUAUUUUUAGUAGAGACGGGGUUUCACCGUGUUAGCCAGGAUGGGCUCGAUCUCCUGACCUUGUGAUCCGCCCUCCUUGGCCUCCCAAAGUGCUGGGAUUACAGGUGCGAGCUACCGUGCCUGGCCUAGAAUUUGUUUUGAUAGAUAUUAGAUUGAGAUGUAACAUUUCUCCCCAUUAUUUGUUGAAUCCUUCAUUUUCUCACUGAUCUCAGACUCUUUAUCAAAUGGAAGCCUUUGUCUUUGCACUCGAGUUCUUUCUGGGCAUUCUGCUCCAUUCCUGUCUGCCCAGCAUCAGUCCACUCUCUCUCGUUAGUGGUGUCAUAUGAGAUAGUCACUGUUUGGUGAACACAUUCCAUCCCUUAUUCUGCCUCCUUUUAAAAAAUGUUCUUUGCUAUUCUCAAGCAUUUAAUUCUUCCAAGUAAUCUUCUAAGUCAUUGGACAAAUUCCUUCCAAAAACACCGUGGAGAUUUCAGUUGAAAUUGCAUUAAAUUUUUGUGUUAACUUACGGGAAGACUAACAUCUGGACAAUGUUUUGCCUGCCCUUGCUUAUGUUGAUUCAGAUUUUUGAUGUCCAGUGAGAGGCUUGGUUGGUGUAUCAGGCUCUGCACAGGGAAGCUGUCCAUUCUAUGGAGUUGCUGGUAACUGGCUGGUCCUGGGGACAGAGAACUGGCCCUCGUUCCUGUGUUAAGGGAAGGAUGAUGGCUCUUGGCUUGAAAAGAUCAUCUUUAUCAUGUUAACACAGUUUCCUUCUGUUUCUAAGAGGUAUUAUCAGAAAUAACACCUUGGAUUUUGGCAAAGCCAUUUUCAGCAUGUAGAGCAUUGAUUUCCCUUUUUCUCUUUGACUUCUGAUAGGAUGAAUGUUAUCAAUCAGCUUUCUAAUGCCGAACGAUCCUUGCAUUCCCAAAACAACCUUACUUGAUCAUGGGACAAUUCCUUGUAUGUGCUUUUAGAUUAGAUUUGGUAAUAUUUUAUUUUGGAAUUAUUUCAUCUAACCACUUAUAAUUAAAAUUAAUCCGCAGUGGGUUUUCUUUGAAUCUAGCUCUGUUAGGUUUUGGUCUUUGGUUCAUAAAUGAAUUGUCCGACUCCCUUUUGGAUAAUGAAAAUGCUCAACAUUUUUUCCUUUGCUUGAUUUUCAGCUAAUAGUGCUGGACCCCCCGGUGAGUAUUUGGGUGCCCUCUGGCCCAUGGCUCACCCCCUGGGGUGCAGCUGCCAUGGCGCAGAGAUACCAGUGUCCUCCUUGGCCUCUUGUAGAGUCUGUGUGCACUUGGACAGCACUGGGCUUCCAAGCCCCACCUAGCAUUGCCAGCAGUCACCUUGUGUCCUGCUCAGGCUUAGGCUGUCAGUUCCUUCUUGGCCACAAGACUUGGACCGUUUCUCCCACCCACAGGUGGAAGAAAGUGAUAACGAGUGGUCUGUUCCACACUGUUUCACCAUCUACGCGGCUCAGAAAACAAUCGUGGUGGCAGCCAGCACUCGGCUGGAGAAAGAGAAGUGGAUGCUCGACCUGAACUCCGCGAUCCAAGCAGCCAAGAGUGGCGGUGACACGGCCCCUGCACUGCCAGGCAGCACUGUGUGCACUCGUCCCCCCAGAUCCCCCAACGAGGUAUCUCUGGAGCAGGAGUCAGAAGAUGACGCUCGGGGUGCCCGCAGCUCCCUGGAGGGGCAUGGCCAGCACCGGGCCAACACCACAGUGCACGUGUGCUGGUACCGGAACACCAGCGUGUCCAGGGCAGACCACAGUGCAGCUGUCGAGAACCAGCUUUCAGGAUAUCUGCUAAGAAAGUUCAAAAACAGUCAUGGCUGGCAGAAGCUGUGGGUCGUCUUUACCAACUUCUGUUUGUUCUUCUACAAAACUCAUCAGGAUGACUACCCACUGGCCAGCCUCCCACUGCUGGGCUACAGCGUGAGCAUCCCCAGGGAGGCCGAUGGCAUACACAAAGACUAUGUUUUCAAGCUCCAGUUCAAAUCCCACGUCUACUUCUUCCGGGCUGAGAGCAAGUACACAUUUGAAAGGUGGAUGGAGGUGAUCCAGGGGGCCAGCAGCUCAGCCGGGAGGGCCCCAAGCAUCGUGCAGGAUGGCCCCCAACCCUCCUCAGGGCUGGAGGACAUGGUCAGGGGGAAGGAGGAAUGACGCUCAACCUGCCCAGGUUUGGACACAACUACAAAGAACAGCAGGACACAGAGGUGGUCUCUGUCCUGAGGCUUCUCAACAGAUGGGAAGUGGCUGUGGUCUCAAUAGAUCCCCACUGGCACCAACAGUGUGGAUGGGCCUCAUGUAACACCUGGGAGGGGCUUCAUCCCCCCACCCAGGACCUAGUGCAUGCCGGCAGCUAUCUGGGGCCCUGGGAAAAAUGUGCGGGUCUUGAGCACAGAGCCGCUCAAGCCACAGCCCCCAGCCCCUGGCCCCUGGCUCAAAGACACAGACAAGGCCUGAGCAGUGCUCUUGGCGUCGGACCAAAGCCUGGGCACACCCUGCCUCUCUCCCCAGAGCAGGGUCCCUGCUGAGGACUGGCCUAGAGCAAGCACUGGAAAAGAAGCCCUGCCAUACACCCUGCAUACCCCACUGCCAGGACCCUCUCAGAUAAGCGUGACCUCUCAGUCAGCAUGCUGACCUUCCAUCUGGUGAACCAAGUGGCAGCCCCAGGGGCCUGCCCUGCAGGUCACAGCUAAACAAGUCUGGCAGAAGCCACGCUUGUUCCCCAUGUACCUCUGGAGAAGCAGAAACCAAAGUCCCCCUGUGCCCUGGGAGGGUGGGGUUCUCUAAUUUAUUGGUGCCCAGCAUGCCUUCCAACGGGAAGUAGACGGGCGACUGCUUUGUUCACACACAUUUGAUUAAAAAUAAACAGCAUCUCCCC
This 3289-nucleotide small RNA is filed under the name Pongo abelii (Sumatran orangutan). RNAcentral describes it as "retained intron". The record is from RNAcentral. Lineage: Eukaryota; Metazoa; Chordata; Mammalia; Primates; Hominidae.